Molecule: non-coding RNA, 2816 nt
Organism: Macaca mulatta (Rhesus monkey)
Lineage: Eukaryota; Metazoa; Chordata; Mammalia; Primates; Cercopithecidae
Source: RefSeq, a predicted model, not a curated record
GGGUCUGUGAGUGUGUGCACAGGGGUUCUGUGUGGGUGACUAUGUGCAUGUGUGCACAGUGGGUUGGCGUGGAUGAUUGUGCAUGUGCACAUAGGGGGUCUGUGCGUGUGUGUGCACAGGGAUUUGUGUGGGUGACUGUGUGUGUGUGCACAGAUCUGUGUGGCUGAUGUGUGUGUGCAUGUGCACAGUGGAUCUAUUUGGUUGGCUGUGUGUGUAUGCGCGCAGGGGAUCUGUAUAGUUGACUCCAUGUGCGCACAUGGGGGUCUGAGUUUAUGUACAGGUGCAUGUUUGUGUACCUGGAACUGUGAGGGUAUGUGGGGUAUGGUGGAGGUGUGUGGGUUGCUUUGGAGGGGGUAUCUGUUCUGUGGUGGGUUUUGUGGGGUGAUGUGAGGAGACGAGCUGGGGUGAGUGAUGCAAAGGGAUCUGUGGAGUAUGUGUUGGGCUGUCUGCCAGGGUGUUGGGUGUACUUUGAGAUGUUUUGGGGUAUGUUUGGGGGUACCUGUGAAGGUGUCUGUGUGGGUGUCAGUGGGGAUCUUGUGGGUGUCUAUGUGGUGGUGCGUGUGGUUUGUGAGUUGUGUUGGUAGGGAGAUUGUGGGGUAUCUGUAGGGUGUCUCUGGAGUGAGUAUAGAGUUCCUAUAAAGUGAGUGUACAGGUAUUCAUGGGAUGCCUGUAGGGCAUCUGUGAGGGUCUAUGCAUUUGGGUUUGGGGAUUUUUGUGGGGUGUUUCUGGCUAUCUGUGGGUCUGCCCUGUGGACAAGUGCCUGUGAAGGUGGUCUGUGUACCUGGGGAGUGACUUCUGUGGCUUUUCUGUGUGCUCUGCCUGUGGGUAGCUGUGUCUGUGAACUUAGCUCCAUGAAAGCAAGAAGCCUAUGAUAAUUCCACCAGGGGCAAACCUGGCCUUGGCGCUUUACUGUCCUAGCGUGUGUCUGGCCCUCCCAUUCCUGGCCAAGGCCCACAGCCACCGCAGACGACCUGCUGAUGCCUCUGCUGAAAUUAGUGGCCACUGGCCAACAGCUUGGCAAGAGUGUCAGCUCCCUCCCGAGAUGAAAUCAGAGGAAAACCGCCUCUAGUUUCCAAGAAGCACACAGGGAGCCACUUCUUUACCGCUUGCUCCUGCAGGGUUUUGCUCCCCCAGCUCCACCCUGCAGGUGCUGGUUUGCCUCCUGAGUCCUGUCCUCAGGACAUCCUGCGCAUCUCCUCCUGAUGGGCUUUCACAUUCAAGAGACACUGGAGCUGCCAUAACCUUGAGUGGACGUGAGCUUGGCCAGAUUGCACUGUCCAAAUGCCAGGACCCAGGGCCCCGGGGAGGUCCCUGAUGCAUGCGGCUGUGCUCUUGGAGGAUCUUGGUCACUCCGGCACAUUUCUUGCAGCAAUCUGCACUUGGAACAGCAUUUGAUAUGGAGGGAAACACUAGUAUAAUAUCAAGGUGAGGAGACUGAGGCAGAAAGAGGUUGAAUGAUGUGCCCAAGGGAACAGAAGUCAUGAGUAGCAGAGCUGGGCUUGCUAAACAUCGUGUGGUCUUUGAGCUCAGGUCCAUCAGUGCUGGAACAAGCUAUGGUGUUAGUUGAAUUCACAGUAGGUCAUGUCAUUUUCCCACCAAACUAUCUCAGUCUAGGUACAAAUAAAAUCUCAGCCUGCUGGGUUUUUAUUUUUUUUAACCUCAGUAUGACAUAUACCAAAAAUUCUGUGUCAAGUGUCUUAUGUAAGAUUUUUCCAGUGCAUAACUAUUAAUGGGAAUUGCAUCAGCAUCAUUGGGUUCUGUCACUUUUUCAUGCCAUUAUAGCACCAUUUAGAAGUUCAUUUAAUUUCAAAAAGUCACCAUAUACUGUUCCCUUCCCUCCAUGUCUCUCUUCCUUAGCUAACGUGUCAUUUUCUCACUUCACACUCCCUCAUUAGAGCCCGGCAAUCUGGCUUCUCUCCCUGAUCCUCCACUGACAUUUUUCUCACCACUGGUUCCAUUUCUAAUAAAUAAAUCACAUGGGUUUUCUCAGUCUCUCUUCUUCCUCAAGUUCCCUGAAUGUUCAGCUGCUAAUCACCUCUUCCCUCCAGACAUCCCUUCUCCCUUGGCUUCUGUUGGCUCCUUUCCUCUCUGUUACCCCAACACUUCCUCCCUCCAGUGCUCUUCGAGUCUUACUGCUGAGCUGUCUUCCCUAAGCCAAUGAUAUUCAUGACUACAUCUCUCCCUGAAUCCCAAACCGGGAUUUGUGGCUUCCAACAGGAUGCUUGCACUUGCCGGAACUUGGCUGUUCUAAAGCCACCUCACUCUCAACAUACUCAGCAUCAAACCUUGGGCCUUAGCUUGGCCAGCCGGGAAGCUGAGCAACUCCAUUUGCUUGCAGCGCCUUCCAUUCUCUUGGUAUGCUGGGAUUGGGAUCCUACGCUUGGAGCUCGAUAAGAAUGAUUGGAAUGUAUCUAGCCUAGUGUCUGGCGUGGAAAAGGUGCUCUGUAAAACCAUUUUCUCUUUCCUUUUCCUUCUGUCUCCUACCCAGUGUUUAUGGAGUCACCAGGUCUGUUGAACAUGGAAGGAAAUGCCAGCUUUAUUCAGUUCCAUCCACCCCACGGCCACUCCACUGACCCCUCAUCCGUCAGCCUGGAAUAGUAUGAAGCUUUUGAACCCAUCUCCCAGCCCGCAUUUCUCCAGGGAACCACCCUGUUCACUGAUACCAUGGCUAUCACUCUGCAGCUUUCCUGCUAACCAAAUCACAAUGGAGCCCUGUUAUCAGUUAGAUUAGAUCAGGGCCCUUCAGCUUGACUUUCAAAGCCUUCCAUCCAUGGGGCCUGUCAUUCGUUCAACAUUUCCACCCCCACACACGAAAA